RNAcentral lists this ribosomal RNA (253 nucleotides) under uncultured bacterium. RNAcentral describes it as "partial 16S ribosomal RNA". It matches the Rfam family "Bacterial small subunit ribosomal RNA", at positions 524 to 776 of the family's 1533-position model. The record is from RNAcentral.
UACGUAGGGUGCGAGCGUUGUCCGGAUUUAUUGGGCGUAAAGAGCUCGUAGGCGGUUUGUUGCGUCUAUCGUGAAAACCUGCAGCUUAACUGUGGGCUUGCGGUGGAUACGGGCAGACUUGAGUUCGGUAGGGGAGACUGGAAUUCCUGGUGUAGCGGUGAAAUGCGCAGAUAUCAGGAGGAACACCGGUGGCGAAGGCGGGUCUCUGGGCCGAUACUGACGCUGAGGAGCGAAAGCGUGGGGAGCGAACAGG